Molecule: ribosomal RNA, 640 nt
Filed under: Filobasidium uniguttulatum
Lineage: Eukaryota; Fungi; Basidiomycota; Tremellomycetes; Filobasidiales; Filobasidiaceae
Description: eukaryotic LSU rRNA
Rfam family: Eukaryotic large subunit ribosomal RNA
Source: RNAcentral
UGCAUAUCAAAAAAGCGGAGGAAAAGAAACUAACAAGGAUUCCCCUAGUAACGGCGAGCGAAGCGGGAAGAGCUCAAAUUUGAAAUCUGGUGGCCUCAGGUCAUCCGAGUUGUAAUCUAUAGAAGUGUUUUCCGUGCUGGCCCAUGUACAAGUCCCUUGGAACAGGGCGUCAUAGAGGGUGAGAAUCCCGUCCUUGACAUGGACUACCAGUGCUCUGUGAUACACUUUCAACGAGUCGAGUUGUUUGGGAAUGCAGCUCAAAAUGGGUGGUAAAUUCCAUCUAAAGCUAAAUAUUGGCGAGAGACCGAUAGCGAACAAGUACCGUGAGGGAAAGAUGAAAAGCACUUUGGAAAGAGAGUUAAACAGUAUGUGAAAUUGUUGAAAGGGAAACGAUUGAAGUCAGUCGUGCUCAAUGGACUCAGCCGUUCUGCGGUGUAUUUCCAUUGGGUGGGGUCAACAUCAGUUUUGAUCGCUGGAUAAAGGCAGGAGGAAUGUAGCACCCCCGGGUGAACUUAUAGCCUCUUGUCACAUACAGUGGUUGGGACUGAGGAACGCAGCAUGCCUUUAUGGCCGGGAUUCGUCCACGUACAUGCUUAGGAUGUUGACAUAAUGGCUUUAAACGACCCGUCUUGAACCACGG